AAAACAUUUGACGUAGCUUAACAUCGCUAAUGCUGCUGCCGUGAGAGUUGAAAACGAGAGAAAAAGAGGUUGGAGAACUGCCGAAGACGCACUUUUAAUUGUCCUGCCUUCUCCUAAUGAACACCGCCUUCUUGGUCAGGUCCUAUUUGAUGCCUGGAAAUUGUGAAGCUCCACCCCUUGUGUCCAACGAGGCUGACCAGUGAUCCCAUUGAUGGCGAGCCUCCCAGUCGAACUUUGAGCCACCACCACACCAUUCAGCGGAUUCUGUGGUAGGUUUGUGUCAGUCCCACUGACUGACACCGAGAGCCUAUUGGAUUCUUUUCAUUGACUUUGACUACUCCCUUGACUUCUUGACUUUAACUUGGAUUGGAUCCACAACAAACCAGUUCCACCGGAAUACUUCAAAUGGACAUUUUUUUUUUUCUUAGUUUAUUGGGCCCAUACGUAUUGUAUUGUUAUGAUGUUGUGUACUGUUUAAAUAGUUUCCUAAAACUAAAAGUUCACAAUAACAACAUAUACCUGUGUCCAGUGGUUAUUGCUAUUACUCGUAGCUCUUACGAACGUAGGUAGCGACGUGUACAUACUCAGAAGUGGGUUACAAAAUAAAUAAAUUAGUGUCUUGAAUUAAAUACAU
This is a long non-coding RNA of Amphiprion ocellaris (clown anemonefish), 634 nucleotides long. RefSeq lists it as uncharacterized. The transcript has 3 exons. The record is from RefSeq and is a predicted model, not a curated record. Lineage: Eukaryota; Metazoa; Chordata; Actinopteri; Pomacentridae.